This 566-nucleotide unclassified non-coding RNA is filed under the name Hevea brasiliensis (rubber tree). The record is from RNAcentral. Lineage: Eukaryota; Viridiplantae; Streptophyta; Magnoliopsida; Malpighiales; Euphorbiaceae.
AAAAAAAAAAAAAAGGAAUGGUUUCUUAUUUUCUUUUCCAGAAGGUGGGUUGUUGAGCAUUUAUAUAAAAAAUACAAUAUAAUUCAUUAGGGGAAAAGAAAAGUAUGGAGGGGUCAGGACUCAAGCAUCAGGAAAAGAGGAGAAUAUUGUAAAGCAAAUAAAAAAGAGAUGUGUUAAGGUCACAUUUGACAUUUUCUUUGGUCCCAGAAAAAUUGUGUUAGAAUUAUACCCUACACAGGACCCAUUACUGAUCAACACAUCUAGAGUUUAUAGGAAAGUAAUCAGAUCAGGUGGUCCAAAAUCCAAAUUGAUCUGCAACUAAAAUUUUCUGUGCAGGACCAAACAAUCCUGGCAGUGAAUGCUCCACUCAGUUGUUAUUUUCCUUCUAGUUCUGGUUCACCCUACCUCUACUUCAACUCUUCUCUCAUGCUAGUGUUGUACACCCCAAAGGUCAAUGAAUUUCAUUUCCAUGCUUUUCUUUUUUCAUUCUAAAAUAUAAAUAUUUCAACCUUUUCUUUCACGGCAAGGUGAGUUGUUCUUUACUUGAUUGACUACUUAAGCCGUGA